This 544-nucleotide unclassified non-coding RNA is filed under the name Athalia rosae (coleseed sawfly). RNAcentral's name for it is "misc RNA ENSAEAG00005009513.1". Lineage: Eukaryota; Metazoa; Arthropoda; Insecta; Hymenoptera; Athaliidae. The record is from RNAcentral.
UGUAGUCUUUCUAUUCCAAUCUCAAAGUCAAAUCGUUGUGCCGAUCGUUAAUCGGAUACGAAGGUAUGCUGCAUCGUGAUCAAGUUGAAAACUGAAGAGUAUGGAUAUGGGGAGCAUCGGCAGAAGAGCGGUAGUACAACACUACACCACUAAUACCGACUGAAAUCGCCCAGGGCAACGUUCUCUGUCUCUCUAAUUGGAUUGCAUUCCACGCGGGAGCAAGUAAUGGACCAAUUACAGUAGCUGAUGGCAGGCCUACCUGCGUUGCUCCCGAGUAUCAUUACUUCCAAAUAUUAGAACGCUAUCUCGACACGCUCAAAGCAGUGCCGCUACUGGCGUCGGCAAAGUGGUCAGCGGUAGCCAAGACCGCAGUCAACGGAGAUGAAGCCACUGAGAUCUGUCGAAAUUCUACAGGGCGGAUCAAAAUUUAUCAUCCAUUUAUAAUACCCGUACGGAGGUCCUCGUAUAAUACGGGUACCUCCGUAAACCUAUGUCGGUAUGAGUAAAAUUCAUUUCUCAUAAACUUUUGGAACUUACAAUCAUG